Non-coding RNA from Nicotiana sylvestris (wood tobacco), 97 nucleotides. Lineage: Eukaryota; Viridiplantae; Streptophyta; Magnoliopsida; Solanales; Solanaceae. The record is from Rfam.
AAGACAGAUUUUUGUAUUCGACUGUAUUCAUGGCGUGAAACAGGGGAUUACAGUUGUUUUUAAACGGAAAGUGAAUCAAUUAACAUAAUAGACUCCU